UAUUUUCGUGCCUGCACGAAAAUAUAUGACCUUGAUACGUGCAAAAACAUGAGAAAGAAGCCCGAUAGGGCGGAUUUCGAAUGUUUUAGGGUUGCGAGAGCACGAAGUGCGAAGCAAACCGU
RNAcentral lists this small RNA (122 nucleotides) under human gut metagenome. RNAcentral's name for it is "Clostridiales-1 RNA". It matches the Rfam family "Clostridiales-1 RNA", at positions 28 to 159 of the family's 166-position model. The record is from RNAcentral.